Molecule: ribosomal RNA, 2932 nt
Filed under: Escherichia coli
Lineage: Bacteria; Pseudomonadati; Pseudomonadota; Gammaproteobacteria; Enterobacterales; Enterobacteriaceae
Description: 23S ribosomal RNA
Rfam family: Bacterial large subunit ribosomal RNA
Source: RNAcentral
GGGUUGUGAGGUUAAGCGACUAAGCGUACACGGUGGAUGCCCAGGCAGUCAGAGGCGAUGAAGGACGUGCUAAUCUGCGAUAAGCGUCGGUAAGGUGAUAUGAACCGUUAUAACCGGCGAUUUCCGAAUGGGGAAACCCAGUGUGUUUCGACACACUAUCAUUAACUGAAUCCAUAGGUUAAUGAGGCGAACCGGGGGAACUGAAACAUCUAAGUACCCCGAGGAAAAGAAAUCAACCGAGAUUCCCCCAGUAGCGGCGAGCGAACGGGGAGCAGCCCAGAGCCUGAAUCAGUGUGUGUGUUAGUGGAAGCGUCUGGAAAGGCGCGCGAUACAGGGUGACAGCCCCGUACACAAAAAUGCACAUGCUGUGAGCUCGAUGAGUAGGGCGGGACACGUGGUAUCCUGUCUGAAUAUGGGGGGACCAUCCUCCAAGGCUAAAUACUCCUGACUGACCGAUAGUGAACCAGUACCGUGAGGGAAAGGCGAAAAGAACCCCGGCGAGGGGAGUGAAAAAGAACCUGAAACCGUGUACGUACAAGCAGUGGGAGCACGCUUAGGCGUGUGACUGCGUACCUUUUGUAUAAUGGGUCAGCGACUUAUAUUCUGUAGCAAGGUUAACCGAAUAGGGGAGCCGAAGGGAAACCGAGUCUUAACUGGGCGUUAAGUUGCAGGGUAUAGACCCGAAACCCGGUGAUCUAGCCAUGGGCAGGUUGAAGGUUGGGUAACACUAACUGGAGGACCGAACCGACUAAUGUUGAAAAAUUAGCGGAUGACUUGUGGCUGGGGGUGAAAGGCCAAUCAAACCGGGAGAUAGCUGGUUCUCCCCGAAAGCUAUUUAGGUAGCGCCUCGUGAAUUCAUCUCCGGGGGUAGAGCACUGUUUCGGCAAGGGGGUCAUCCCGACUUACCAACCCGAUGCAAACUGCGAAUACCGGAGAAUGUUAUCACGGGAGACACACGGCGGGUGCUAACGUCCGUCGUGAAGAGGGAAACAACCCAGACCGCCAGCUAAGGUCCCAAAGUCAUGGUUAAGUGGGAAACGAUGUGGGAAGGCCCAGACAGCCAGGAUGUUGGCUUAGAAGCAGCCAUCAUUUAAAGAAAGCGUAAUAGCUCACUGGUCGAGUCGGCCUGCGCGGAAGAUGUAACGGGGCUAAACCAUGCACCGAAGCUGCGGCAGCGACGCUUAUGCGUUGUUGGGUAGGGGAGCGUUCUGUAAGCCUGUGAAGGUGUGCUGUGAGGCAUGCUGGAGGUAUCAGAAGUGCGAAUGCUGACAUAAGUAACGAUAAAGCGGGUGAAAAGCCCGCUCGCCGGAAGACCAAGGGUUCCUGUCCAACGUUAAUCGGGGCAGGGUGAGUCGACCCCUAAGGCGAGGCCGAAAGGCGUAGUCGAUGGGAAACAGGUUAAUAUUCCUGUACUUGGUGUUACUGCGAAGGGGGACGGAGAAGGCUAUGUUGGCCGGGCGACGGUUGUCCCGGUUUAAGCGUGUAGGCUGGUUUUCCAGGCAAAUCCGGAAAAUCAAGGCUGAGGCGUGAUGACGAGGCACUACGGUGCUGAAGCAACAAAUGCCCUGCUUCCAGGAAAAGCCUCUAAGCAUCAGGUAACAUCAAAUCGUACCCCAAACCGACACAGGUGGUCAGGUAGAGAAUACCAAGGCGCUUGAGAGAACUCGGGUGAAGGAACUAGGCAAAAUGGUGCCGUAACUUCGGGAGAAGGCACGCUGAUAUGUAGGUGAAGUCCCUCGCGGAUGGAGCUGAAAUCAGUCGAAGAUACCAGCUGGCUGCAACUGUUUAUUAAAAACACAGCACUGUGCAAACACGAAAGUGGACGUAUACGGUGUGACGCCUGCCCGGUGCCGGAAGGUUAAUUGAUGGGGUUAGCCGCAAGGCGAAGCUCUUGAUCGAAGCCCCGGUAAACGGCGGCCGUAACUAUAACGGUCCUAAGGUAGCGAAAUUCCUUGUCGGGUAAGUUCCGACCUGCACGAAUGGCGUAAUGAUGGCCAGGCUGUCUCCACCCGAGACUCAGUGAAAUUGAACUCGCUGUGAAGAUGCAGUGUACCCGCGGCAAGACGGAAAGACCCCGUGAACCUUUACUAUAGCUUGACACUGAACAUUGAGCCUUGAUGUGUAGGAUAGGUGGGAGGCUUAGAAGUGUGGACGCCAGUCUGCAUGGAGCCGACCUUGAAAUACCACCCUUUAAUGUUUGAUGUUCUAACGUUGACCCGUAAUCCGGGUUGCGGACAGUGUCUGGUGGGUAGUUUGACUGGGGCGGUCUCCUCCUAAAGAGUAACGGAGGAGCACGAAGGUUGGCUAAUCCUGGUCGGACAUCAGGAGGUUAGUGCAAUGGCAUAAGCCAGCUUGACUGCGAGCGUGACGGCGCGAGCAGGUGCGAAAGCAGGUCAUAGUGAUCCGGUGGUUCUGAAUGGAAGGGCCAUCGCUCAACGGAUAAAAGGUACUCCGGGGAUAACAGGCUGAUACCGCCCAAGAGUUCAUAUCGACGGCGGUGUUUGGCACCUCGAUGUCGGCUCAUCACAUCCUGGGGCUGAAGUAGGUCCCAAGGGUAUGGCUGUUCGCCAUUUAAAGUGGUACGCGAGCUGGGUUUAGAACGUCGUGAGACAGUUCGGUCCCUAUCUGCCGUGGGCGCUGGAGAACUGAGGGGGGCUGCUCCUAGUACGAGAGGACCGGAGUGGACGCAUCACUGGUGUUCGGGUUGUCAUGCCAAUGGCACUGCCCGGUAGCUAAAUGCGGAAGAGAUAAGUGCUGAAAGCAUCUAAGCACGAAACUUGCCCCGAGAUGAGUUCUCCCUGACUCCUUGAGAGUCCUGAAGGAACGUUGAAGACGACGACGUUGAUAGGCCGGGUGUGUAAGCGCAGCGAUGCGUUGAGCUAACCGGUACUAAUGAACCGUGAGGCUUAACCUUACAACGCCGAAGGUGUUU